Small nuclear RNA from Perognathus longimembris pacificus (Pacific pocket mouse), 103 nucleotides. The record is from RefSeq and is a predicted model, not a curated record. NCBI's taxonomy places the organism in Eukaryota, Metazoa, Chordata, Mammalia, Rodentia, Heteromyidae.
UUGCUUCUCCAGCACAUGUACUACAAGUAGAACAAUACCGAGGAGAUUAGUAUGGCCUCUGUGCCAGGAUGACAGGCAAAUUCAUGAAGCGUUCCAUGUUAAA